RNAcentral lists this ribosomal RNA (652 nucleotides) under uncultured bacterium. Its description in RNAcentral is "bacterial SSU rRNA". It matches the Rfam family "Bacterial small subunit ribosomal RNA", at positions 820 to 1470 of the family's 1533-position model. The record is from RNAcentral.
GUGUGGGAUCCAUUCCACGGGUUCCGUGCCGCAGCUAACGCAUUAAGUGCCCCGCCUGGGGAGUACGGCCGCAAGGCUAAAACUCAAAGGAAUUGACGGGGGCCCGCACAAGCGGCGGAGCAUGCGGAUUAAUUCGAUGCAACGCGAAGAACCUUACCAAGGCUUGACAUACACCGGAAAAGUGCAGAGAUGUGCUCCCCGUAAGGUCGGUGUACAGGUGGUGCAUGGUUGUCGUCAGCUCGUGUCGUGAGAUGUUGGGUUAAGUCCCGCAACGAGCGCAACCCUUGUCCUGUGUUGCCAGCGGGUUAUGCCGGGGACUCAUAGGAGACUGCCGGGGUCAACUCGGAGGAAGGUGGGGAUGACGUCAAAUCAUCAUGCCCCUUAUGUCUUGGGCUUCACGCAUGCUACAAUGGCCGGUACAAAGGGCUGCGAUACCGCGAGGUGGAGCGAAUCCCAAAAAGCCGGUCUCAGUUCGGAUUGGGGUCUGCAACUCGACCCCAUGAAGUCGGAGUCGCUAGUAAUCGCAGAUCAGCAACGCUGCGGUGAAUACGUUCUCGGGCCUUGUACACACCGCCCGUCACGUCAUGAAAGUCGGUAACACCCGAAGCCGGUGGCCCAACCCUUGUGGGGGGAGCCGUCGAAGGUGGGGCUG